RNAcentral lists this ribosomal RNA (253 nucleotides) under uncultured bacterium. Its description in RNAcentral is "partial 16S ribosomal RNA". It matches the Rfam family "Bacterial small subunit ribosomal RNA", at positions 524 to 776 of the family's 1533-position model. The record is from RNAcentral.
UACAGAGGUCUCAAGCGUUGUUCGGAUUCAUUGGGCGUAAAGGGUGCGUAGGCGGGUAGGUAAGUCCGUGGUGAAAUCUCUGAGCUUAACUCAGAAACUGCCGUGGAUACUAUUUGCCUUGAAUAUUGUGGAGGUGAGCGGAAUAUGUCAUGUAGCGGUGAAAUGCUUAGAUAUGACGUAGAACACCAAUUGCGAAGGCAGCUCACUACACAAUGAUUGACGCUGAGGCACGAAAGCGUGGGGAUCAAACAGG